GUCUUCCUGUAGCUCAGUGGUUAGAGCAUCCAACCAGUGUGUGGAAGGGCGGAAGGCCAUGGGUUUGAUUCCCAUUGGGGACU
Desmophyllum pertusum is the source of this 83-nucleotide non-coding RNA. The record is from the annotation of a GenBank genome assembly. NCBI's taxonomy places the organism in Eukaryota, Metazoa, Cnidaria, Anthozoa, Scleractinia, Caryophylliidae.